Molecule: long non-coding RNA, 3721 nt
Organism: Pipra filicauda (Wire-tailed manakin)
Lineage: Eukaryota; Metazoa; Chordata; Aves; Passeriformes; Pipridae
Exons: 5
Source: RefSeq, a predicted model, not a curated record
CAACCUUUAACCAUUCUGUGGUUCUGUGAGCACAAUCAGCUGCCCUGCCCUGCCCUGCCCUGCCCCGCCCCUCCCGCGGCUCCGGUGGGGAAGGCGGUGAGAGGGCGAGAAGGGCUGGGGAGGCGGGGAAGGAGAGAAAAUGGCCGCCGCUGGUGGGGAGGGAGGGCGGCCCCCCAGCGCACCUGAGGGAGAGGGGCCGCGCGUGGAGGAGCGUGUGGGGCAAAAGACCAGCGGGCGGGAAGUAUAAGGCUGCAGAUCAAGGUUUCAAUCAAUAGAGAAAAGGAUGGUGUAGAGAGCCCAGCAUAUCACGAUUCAGUGCAACAGAGAGACAGGGUCAGUUAUUAAACCAUCGUCAGCCUGCAGGGUUUGCAGCAUUUGGACAGUUUCUCACUUCUUCUCCUGCCCAGAACACAGCUAGUCAAGCAAAGGCUGUAACUCUCAGCAAACCUUCCCAAGUAUGUAAAAGGAUUAGCAGAGGGACCUUCCUGGUUCUGUCAUUUCUUAAAAACCCAGUUCACAGAUGAGAAGUUUCAAGUACAGCUUGGCAAAUCCAGAGGAUGCUGGGGGAAGCAGCUGAUACAAUUCACAUGUUCACUCAUCUACUGCAUAUGGAAUAUAAGGAAGAGGAGUCCAACAAAAGGUGCAGUAUUUUCCCUUUGAAAUGUUCAUGAAAUUAAACAGAUAAUGGUCCCAGACAUGUUUUUUCCAUGAGCAGAAGUGGUGCAUGGAUCAUCCUAUGCCCUCAGAGCCGGCUACUGACAACCAUGACAACUUUAAGUCGGCAAGAAUUGAAGUGAGAUCACCAACUCACCUUGCGCCUACUACCUAAGGGUCAUCACACUCUGAGGAACAGAAAUCCCACCUGGCAGCUUGGCAAGUGUGACAUUCAACCCUCCAUUAAAAGUACCUUGUAUUAAUUAUAAUUUCUUUAGAUGAUUUAACAGUUACAGGUUCGUUUUUAAUGUACAUCGUUUUUAACCAAAAUCCUUUAGGUUUGCAUGGGGAUCCAGGACAACAAUGAAGAGUAGAUAUGCAAGAAAUAUUACAUAUAAGAUAGAUAAGGAACAUCAGAUAGAUAAGGAACUGGUGAAUCCUUCUCAGUGGUGCAUCUACCCCUGGAAACAAGUGAGAGCCAGAGAACAAAAAGGCCAGUUAACCAUUAUUAUUAUUAUAGAACACGAAGCAGCUCUAUUCAGUUAGAAACAAAUGGCCAAGUGACUACUAGAAGAUUUGUGUCUACCAUAGCUGGUUUCAAAGAUGCAGAGGGGGGCCAGAACUGUUUGUCACGGGGCUGUGGCACUGCUAUGGCUGCACCAGAUCAGGUUUGCUGGUGUCUCAUCAGAGCAGGAGGGUCCUGGCAAGGGCUGGGGCACAGCACUGUCUGCUGCUGCUAAAAAUUCACCACUGCAACUCUCAUCUUUUUGACACAAGCUUCACCAUCCAUGUUUGAGGUGUUGCUUAGGAAAGGAGUCUUCAGGGUCACUAGGAGACAGGAGUUAGGGAGCUGAGGGUUCUGAGGCCACUGGGGGUAAAGAGGCCAGAAAGAUUUUGGAGGUUGCCUCCUUGGCUAGGCAAAAGCAGAGCCCAUUUGCUCCUGAUCCCUUCAACUCCCUCCCAGUUCUCCUUCUUUCACUACUCACUAGGAAUAAAAAUAGUGGCUAUGGGUGGCCGGAUUGCCUGGGGCAGGUCAGGAAGGAGAAAAUACUGGGAAUGGGGUCUGAGCAUGGAGUCAUCCCACAGAGAAGAAGAAGAUCUACACUGCUGUUUGCAAACAGCUGCAGAUCCCCUGGGAUUUGUUUUCCAAUUAGUAACAAAGCACAUUAACAAAGUCUAUUUAGAUGGUUUUACACUUGAGUGAGAUUUUCCUAAAUUAGUAGCCAUCAAUUCUUAUUCGGAGAGUGAAUCUGACAAAUUCCAUGGAUUAUACCAGUGUACAGCCCUCCUCCUGCAAAAAAAAGGGCAGUGAGUCACAAUCAGAAAAAAAGGAACUUGCUUUAAGAGUAGCAUAUCCCUGUUUUUCCUAUCAAAACACUUUGUUGUGUCUUUCCGUAGUUUUAGUAGUUGCAGUUUUUUGGACUUCAGUAAUGGGAAAUUAUUCUAGAGGGGAAUAUUAAUAGAAAGUUCUUAAAAGGCACUGAGAAGGUAGAUGGUACCUUUUCAUCAAAAGAACAAACCAACUGCAAACAAGAAAUGGAACAUUUAAACCUAAGGAAAAUAAAUCUCUAUUACCCUAAAUAACUUGGACUCAAUAGUAGAGAGUGUCGCUGAGAAAGCAAACUGGAUGCUCACACAGAUAACAUGCAUUUGUGCAUGUUACAAUUAAUGAAAAUAGCUUAAAAUUUAUUUCACCCCACAUUUCAAAGACUAAAUCAAUCUCUGUUUAGGCAGGGCAGAUGACCUCACACCUGCCUCUGUGUCAUGUCCUGCACUUCAGCUGAGGAUUUACAGUUGGCCUCUUGUAGGGGUGUGUGACUGGGGACCAGGAGGAAUAUGGGCUUUGACCCAACUGGUGCUAAUUGCACCUCAAUUUUUCAACAGUGUUGCCAGGUCUGGCCCAUGAAACAGUGCUGGCUGGAAUAUCCCUAAGGAUUGUCAGUGAUGGCCUUAGCAAUAGGCCCGAGCCUCAGGGACUGAACCUUUCCAUAAAAAAAAUGUCUUUGUAGACACGGCCACUCAGAUCUCCAAGGCAGCACCUCUGAGUGUGUGUGUCUAUCCAUCCAUCCAUCCAUCCAUCCAUCCCUUACACACAAGCACGCAGACUCAAGAGUUAUUUUGCUGGUCCAAGGAGAGUGAAACCUCUACUGAACAUUUACUUGUGGAAUUUCUUCCUCGAAAAUAUCAUCUGGGAUGUUCUCAGAGACCUGAAGGUGUACACAACAGUUCACUGCAAUGUUUAUCUACUGCUUAGGUGGGAAAAAUUCACAAUAAAAGUGAUGCAGGAUGCCAUUAAUGAACCUUGUCCUCCUGCCAUCAGGGGAAGGCACAAAGAACUGAAGAGUGGUUUGAACAAGCUCAGCAUCUUCUACACUUAAACAAAAGAUUGUGUCCUACAGGGACACCAGUUUAUUUACCAGGAAUUGUAGCAACACAUCAAAGAAGUUGCUUUUGGUCUUUGCAAUGGCCUUAAGGAAUAUCUGUCCUAGGAGUGAGCUCAGUGACACCUGAACCCUCACUCUUCCCAGGACUUAAGCACUGACAGCAGGUUGUGGCAGGACACAAGGACCAGCUUUAGCACAUCUUCAGUCCACAAAGCAGGAAGAGAAGGUGUUCCCUGUACUCUUAUGACCACCCUGUCCAUCAAAUUUUGGCUGUUAUUAGAAGGUAAAGGGUUUGGAUAGGUCUUUUAGCUUCCACCCAAAUCACCUGGUCAUUUGAUGCUUAGCAGGAGUAUUAUGGUCUACAGGGGCAGCAGGAAUGGUGGCACUAGAGGGAGCUCUGGCAGCAUCACCCACCUCCAAGCCCCCCAGUCUGGAACCAGACCCAGAUCACAAGAUUUGCCUCUAAAAUUGUGAAGGUUUGGACUGUCUGGUGGUUUAUUCCUUAUAUUACCUUCUGUGAACAUCUGAAUAACAUUUUUAAAUGGUUUUUUUGCUGCUACAAACUCUGGAAUUACCAGCAUCCCCUGUGCUCUUGCCAACAGCUCCUGUGAUUGCAUGGUUCUAGGAACUAGGAUUUAGCCCACUAACUAAAUGUUUAUGAACCAAAAGCUAACUCAAACACU